AUUGAACGCUGGCGGCAGGCCUAACACAUGCAAGUCGAGCGGUAGCACAGAGAGCUUGCUCUCGGGUGACGAGCGGCGGACGGGUGAGUAAUGUCUGGGAAACUGCCUGAUGGAGGGGGAUAACUACUGGAAACGGUAGCUAAUACCGCAUAACGUCGCAAGACCAAAGUGGGGGACCUUCGGGCCUCAUGCCAUCAGAUGUGCCCAGAUGGGAUUAGCUGGUAGGUGGGGUAACGGCUCACCUAGGCGACGAUCCCUAGCUGGUUUGAGAGGAUGACCAGCCCCCCUGGAACUGAGACACGGUCCAGACUCCUACGGGAGGCAGCAGUGGGGAAUAUUGCCCAAUGGGCGCAAGCCUGAUGCAGCCCUGCCGCGUGUAUGAAGAAGGCCUUCGGGUUGUAAAGUACUUUCAGCGGGGAGGAAGGCGAUAAGGUUAAUAACCUUGUCGAUUGACGUUACCCGCAGAAGAAGCACCGGCUAACUCCGUGCCCGCC
Molecule: ribosomal RNA, 494 nt
Filed under: uncultured bacterium
Lineage: Bacteria
Description: bacterial SSU rRNA
Rfam family: Bacterial small subunit ribosomal RNA
Source: RNAcentral